GUAGGGAAUAUUGGGCAAUGGAUGCAAGUCUGACCCAGCCAUCCCGCGUGCCGGAAGAAGGCCCUCAGGGUUGUAAACGGCUUUUGACGGUGAAGAAUCGACAGGAUGCGUCCUGUUUUGAGGGUAGCCGUUGAAUAAGCACCGGCUAACUCCGUGCCAGCAGCCGCGGUAAUACGGAGGGUGCGAGCGUUGUCGGGAUUUAUUGGGUUUAAAGGGUGCGUAGGCUGGAAGGUCAGUCAGCGGUGAAAAGCUGUCGCUUAACGAUAGUCUUGCCGCAGAUACUUCCUUUCUUGGAUGAGGAGGAGGCCACUGGAACGUAUGGUGUAGCGGUGAAAUGCAUAGAUAUCAUCCAGAACACCGAUUGCGAAGGCAGGUGGCUGUACCUUAAUCGACGCUGAUGCACGAAAGCAUGGGGAGCAAACAGGAUUAGAUACCCGAGUAGUCC
RNAcentral lists this ribosomal RNA (445 nucleotides) under uncultured bacterium. RNAcentral's name for it is "partial 16S ribosomal RNA". It matches the Rfam family "Bacterial small subunit ribosomal RNA", at positions 354 to 796 of the family's 1533-position model. The record is from RNAcentral.